UACGUAGGGAGCAAGCGUUGUCCGGAAUCAUUGGGCGUAAAGCGCGCGUAGGUGGCCUCGUAAGUCCGCUGUGAAAGUCAAAGGCUCAACCUUUGAAAGCCGGUGGAUACUGUGAGGCUAGAGUACGGAAGAGGCAAGUGGAAUUCCUGGUGUAGCGGUGGAAUGCGCAGAUAUCAGGAGGAACACCAAUAGCGAAGGCAGCUCGCUGGGACGUUACUGACACUGAGGCGCGAAAGCGUGGGGAGCGAACAGG
Molecule: ribosomal RNA, 253 nt
Filed under: uncultured bacterium
Lineage: Bacteria
Description: partial 16S ribosomal RNA
Rfam family: Bacterial small subunit ribosomal RNA
Source: RNAcentral